GCCCACUGAUAGUUAUUAAAGGGCCGCAGUAUUUUGACUGUGCGAAGGUAGCAUAAUCAAUAGUCUUUUAAUUGAAGGCUUGUAUGAAUGGUUGAAUGAGAUAUAUACUGUCUUUUUUAAAUUUUUAUAGAAUUUUAUUUUUUAAUUAAAAAGUUAAAAUAUAAUUAAAAGACGAGAAGACCCUAUAGAUCUUUAUUUUUGUUAAUUAUAAAUAAAAAAGAAUAUUUAAAUUUAUAAUUUAAUAAAAAAAUUUUACUGGGGUGGUAUUAAAAUUUAAUUAACUUUUUAUUGUUUAUUUACAUUAAUAUAUGAAUAUUUGAUCCAAUUAUAUUGAUUAAAAAAUUAAGUUACCUUAGGGAUAACAGCGUAAUUUUUUUUUAGAGUUCUUAUCGACAAAAAAGAUUGCGACCUCGAUGUUGGAUUAAGAGUUAUUUUUAGGUGUAGAAGUUUAAAGUUUAGGUCUGUUCGACCUUUAAAUUCUUACAUGAUCUGAGUUCAAACCGGCGUAAGCCAGGUUGGUUUCUAUCUUUAAUUAAUUAUUAUAUUAUAGUACGAAAGGACCUAAUAUAAAAAAUAUAAAUUUUAAAUUUAUGAAUUAUAUUAAUAUUUAAUAAAACUAUUUUGGCAGAUUAGUGCAAUAAAUUUAGAAUUUAUUUAUAUAAUUUAAUUAAUUAUAAAUAGUAUUGUUUUAUAUAGAUUAUUUAUUAUCAUUAAUUGGAAGUUUAUUGUUAGUAAUUUGUGUUAUAGUAGGAGUAGCUUUUUUAACUUUAUUAGAACGUAAAGUUUUAGGUUAUAUUCAAAUUCGU
This 806-nucleotide ribosomal RNA is filed under the name Aedes scutellaris. RNAcentral's name for it is "partial 16S ribosomal RNA". The stretch from base 1 to 564 matches the Rfam family "Bacterial large subunit ribosomal RNA", at positions 1861 to 2925 of the family's 2925-position model. Lineage: Eukaryota; Metazoa; Arthropoda; Insecta; Diptera; Culicidae. The record is from RNAcentral.